Non-coding RNA from Rhodotorula graminis WP1, 86 nucleotides. NCBI's taxonomy places the organism in Eukaryota, Fungi, Basidiomycota, Microbotryomycetes, Sporidiobolales, Sporidiobolaceae. The record is from the annotation of a RefSeq genome assembly.
GCAACGGUGGUGUACUGGUUAACAUGCGGAUUUCCCAUGCUCUCUUGAAGUUGUCCGCGUACCGGGUUCGAUUCCCGGCCGCUGCA